GGAUGUGAGGGUGAUCUGGCUGCAACAUCUGUCACCCCAUUGAUUGCCAGGGUUGAUUCGGCUGAUCUGGCUGCCUAGGCGGGUGUCCCCUUCCUCCCUCACUGCUCCAUGUGCAUCCCUCCCGAAGCUGCACGCACAGUCAAAGAGGAUGACCAUCCCCAACAGAGGAGGACUGUUCUUUGGUCAAGGGUAUACAAGUAGAUGUGCUCCCCUGACAGAACCUCCAAACAAGCUCUCAAGAUAUAUAUGUUAAUGUGUCAUUAUAAAUUGGACACCCAUGUACCCACUACCAGGUCUAGAAUACUAUUCAGCUUUCCCU
RNAcentral lists this small nuclear RNA (319 nucleotides) under Castor canadensis (American beaver). RNAcentral's name for it is "7SK RNA (ENSCCNG00000029146.1)". It matches the Rfam family "7SK RNA". Rfam says of the family: 7SK was discovered as an abundant small nuclear RNA in the mid-70s but a possible function has only recently been suggested. Two independent studies have found that 7SK RNA binds the CDK9/cyclin T complex (known as elongation factor P-TEFb). Lineage: Eukaryota; Metazoa; Chordata; Mammalia; Rodentia; Castoridae. The record is from Rfam by way of RNAcentral.